Molecule: ribosomal RNA, 563 nt
Filed under: uncultured bacterium
Lineage: Bacteria
Description: bacterial SSU rRNA
Rfam family: Bacterial small subunit ribosomal RNA
Source: RNAcentral
UAAAGGUAUUCCGGUAGACGAUGGGGAUGCGUUCCAUUAGAUAGUAGGCGGGGUAACGGCCCACCUAGUCUUCGAUGGAUAGGGGUUCUGAGAGGAAGGUCCCCCACAUUGGAACUGAGACACGGUCCAAACUCCUACGGGAGGCAGCAGUGAGGAAUAUUGGUCAAUGGGCGAGAGCCUGAACCAGCCAAGUAGCGUGAAGGAUGACUGCCCUAUGGGUUGUAAACUUCUUUUAUAAAGGAAUAAAGUCGGGUAUGGAUACCCGUUUGCAUGUACUUUAUGAAUAAGGAUCGGCUAACUCCGUGCCAGCAGCCGCGGUAAUACGGAGGAUCCGAGCGUUAUCCGGAUUUAUUGGGUUUAAAGGGAGCGUAGAUGGAUAUUUAAGUCAGUUGUGAAAGUUUGCGGCUCAACCGUAAAAUUGCAGUUGAUACUGGAUAUCUUGAGUGCAGUUGAGGCAGGCGGAAUUCGUGGUGUAGCGGUGAAAUGCUUAGAUAUCACGAAGAACUCCGAUUGCGAAGGCAGCCUGCUAAGCUGCAACUGACAUUGAGGCUCGAAAGUGUGGG